GGGAGUGUAGCUUAGAGGUAGAGCGCUUGCCUAGUACGUGUGAGAGCCUGGGUUUACACCACAGCACUGCCA
Molecule: transfer RNA, 72 nt
Filed under: Cricetulus griseus (Chinese hamster)
Lineage: Eukaryota; Metazoa; Chordata; Mammalia; Rodentia; Cricetidae
Rfam family: tRNA
About the family: Transfer RNA (tRNA) molecules are approximately 80 nucleotides in length.
Source: Rfam by way of RNAcentral